Molecule: ribosomal RNA, 519 nt
Filed under: uncultured eukaryote
Lineage: Eukaryota
Description: SSU rRNA
Rfam family: Eukaryotic small subunit ribosomal RNA
Source: RNAcentral
AGGGCACCACCAGGAGUGGAGCCUGCGGCUUAAUUUGACUCAACACGGGAAAACUCACCCGGCCCGGACACUGGAAGGAUUGACAGAUUGAGAGCUCUUUCUUGAUUCAGUGGGUGGUGGUGCAUGGCCGUUCUUAGUUGGUGGAGUGAUUUGUCUGGUUAAUUCCGAUAACGAACGAGACUCUAGCCUACUAAAUAGAUCGUCGGCUUACAAACGCCGGCGAGACUUCUUAGAGGGACAGGCGGUGAUUCAACCGCACGAAACAGAGCAAUAACAGGUCUGUGAUGCCCUUAGAUGUCCGGGGCCGCACGCGCGCUACACUGAAGUGAUCAGCGUGCUUUUUCAACCUACUCUGUCAAGAGUGGGGAACCCAAUGAACCUUCUUCGUGAUUGGGAUAGGGGGUUGUAAUUAUUCCCCUUGAACGAGGAAUUCCCAGUAAAAGCGAGUCAUAAGCUCUCGUUGAUUUACUCCCCCUGCCCUUUGUACACACGCCCCGUCUACCUACCGAUUGAACGAUU